GUCAAGUCAGCAUGGCCUUUAUAUCCUGGGCUACACACACGCUACAAUGGCCAACACAAUAGGUUGCUAAGCCGCGAGGUGGCGCCAAUCCAUAAAGUUGGUCUCAGUUCAGAUUGUAGGCUGCAACCCGCCUGCAUGAAGAUGGAGUUGCUAGUAGCCGCAGGUCAGCUAUACUGCGGUGAAUACGUUCCCGGGGCUU
This 199-nucleotide ribosomal RNA is filed under the name uncultured Leptolinea sp. Its description in RNAcentral is "partial 16S ribosomal RNA". It matches the Rfam family "Bacterial small subunit ribosomal RNA", at positions 1184 to 1382 of the family's 1533-position model. Lineage: Bacteria; Bacillati; Chloroflexota; Anaerolineae; Anaerolineales; Anaerolineaceae. The record is from RNAcentral.